AGAAAGACCUUCAAAAUCAUGGCCACCGCUUCGAGUUCUAAUUUGGAGCCCAUGUUUUCUUGAACAAUAAAUUGUUGCUUGAAUAUGGGAAGCAUGGAGCGGUGUUACAAUGACCAAAGGUUUAGGGGUAGAUGGUGUAGUGAAUCUAAAAUUUCGAACGGUAGCGUUCAAAACAGAAGAAUAGGAAGAAUUAUUUUGUGUGAAGACAACUUUAGAAAUGGAAGAGGAGUCGUUGGAUUGAAGAGAAAGGCAAUCAAGAAAAGUCUCAUCAGCCUGAGCUGAAGCUGCCCAUAACAAUAAGAAGAGAGCAACAUAAAGAAAUGAUGAAGACAUUGAAAAGUGAAGAGAUUUCAUAUUUUUGAAACUGAUGAUUUCGAAACUGAUGGUUUUGUGCAGAGUUUGUGAAGAGCUCCCCUAUUUAUAGAUUUACAUAACCUGAGGGGAUGCUUGGAGCCGCAAAAAUGCAUUGGAAUUGAAUUUUCUUCAAACGCGGAAUGAGUUUGGAAAGGGGAUGGCAGUCAAUAUAACAUGUUGAUCUAUAUGUCGUCACUUCCUUGGGAAAAUCUUCACCAUAAGCAAUGAUGGCAUUGGGGGCAUUUGACGCACUCAAACUAAAAUUGCCUGACUUUUAUAACCUGAUCAAAUUGGUAAAUGAAAAGAGUUUUCCCAUUGGGUUUUACGUAGUGAAAGCAUGUGAAUAGAAUCGAAUUUAGUGACUCUUUUCUUAGCUUUCUCGAUCAUCACAUAUAAAUAACUUUAAAAAAAAAAUUUCUCUCUUUCAAAGAGGAUAGUAAUUUAUUGACCUUUGCCAUCCUGAAAAACCAAUUUAUUCCAAUAAGAUGACGAUUAGGCCUAAAUUGUCAUUGAAAAAUCUACAUUCUACGGGAUUCCGUAUGGCAUGGAAAGGGUAAAAGCUCCAUGGGAACACACCCAAAGCAUUCUCACACAAUAAAAUGAUGUUUUAUUUCAUGCCAUAGUUUCUUUUACUUCUUGCACAAUCUUACAAAUCGAAAUCAAUUUAAAAUUCUCAAACUUAAGAAUUUGACAAAUAUGAGAAAAGGUCAUAUAAUUGUUAAUCUCGGUAGUGAAGCAAUCAAUGUGGAAAAACCGAUUCACUCAUUCGGUUUAGGAUUAUUGUUACAAGCGAAGUUAAAAUGUUUGCUAUAUGUCCAUUUAUUUUUCAUUUAAUGUUGACUAUUUUUUGAAACAGUUGAAUUGAUAUUAAAAAUAAUAUUUAGUAGAUUGUAAGUUGAAACGUGUAAUAUUCACUUAAAUUGAAUAAGUAUAAGGGUACGGAAAUUCAAGGAUAAAUUAGAAAUUUCAAAAAAAAAUUUCCCAUUUAAUUUAUUUCUUUUUAUCUCAUAAAUAUUAUGAUUUCAUUUUAUUUUAAAUAUAUUAUUAAUUGAAACAUGAAAAAAAAAUCUAAACACUUUAAAUGAAAAGGUUUUCAAACAUACUUAUAUAUAUAUAUAUAUAUAUAUAUAUAACAAAAAAAAGUAGUUUAAUGUUUAAAAUAUAAAUUAUCAAAUUAAGUUGAAAAAGUUCAAGAGAGAAAGGUGAUUGGAAUAUUUUUAUCUUAUCGUGGAUAAGCCAAAGGAGAAAAUUCUCAUAAGACAGAGACAAAGUCCCCCGUAUUAAUAUUUUCAUGAGGAGGUGGGUUGUUCCCAUGAAAGUCCCAUUGCUUGGACGAUGUGCUUGCUAUUAUUUUCAACCAUUUCUACAUUUCUUGUUUUUAAGGUAAAAGUUUGAGCCUACAACAUAAAAUCUCCGACUUUCAUGUAGAUUUCCUUUUGUUUUACUAUAUAUUUUGGCAAAAAUAAAAUUCAACAAUUACUGGCGGUCUAGAUUGGACAUAAUUCCGGGAACAAAAAUUAACUACGAGUACUUGUUAAUAUUGAAAAAUAUUUUUUGUUCUACAAGAAAAAAGAAAGUAAAAAUAUUAGUAAAAUUAAAAAUAAAAUGAAUUUUUUUUUUUCAAAAAAAAUUUUAAGAUUAUAUUUUUUUAACAUUAAUAUAUAUGUGACAGUAAAAUACUAAAACUAUGUUCACAAAUCUUUUAUAUCAUUAUUAAUAAUUUAUAUGUACUUAAUUUUGGAACCAAUGCACAAAAUCCUUCUCUUUUAAAAAUAAAUUUACUAUUGUGAACCAAAUUUGAAAUUUUCAUGUAUAAGACAAAACAUAAAUACGUAAAUAAAUAAUAAGUAAAAAAAAAGGGAGUUAAAAAAGAUAAAUUUUGACAUAUUGAGUUGAAAACCGCGUAUGGAUGUAGCUGGGAAUAAAUAUAACUUGAAGAUAAACCUUUUUUGUUUUGGCCAAAGAAAGACCUGAAGAUAGGCUUUAAUAAAAGUCUUAAUCUGAAAAUUCUAAAUGUGACUUUCUACUUGCUAUUUGAGGAAAUUAAUUUCACAUAUUACAAUUAUGUCCCUAUUCUUUCAGGCAAUUUCUGCUCUGUCUGGUGCAACAUUAUUUUCAUUUGACUUUAUUAAAUUCUUGACUUCAAUUAUUCUUGAAAAUGGUUGUAUUUUUAAAUUAAUUAAAACCAUAUCAUAUCAGGCAUGACUUAGUCUAUUGCAUGAGAAAGGUUUGAUUUUGACUAAAAAAACCUCUGGAUAAAUUUAAAGCAAACUCCUGUGGAAUGCCUUCAUUGACUUUUGUUCAUUUUUUUUCCUUUGAAGAAUAUGUAGAUGAAUAUCCAAAGACAGUGAACCAACUCCUUAAAUUACGUUCGAAAACUGGAAACUGAUCUUAGAUAUGAAGGAAAACCUGUAUCCCUCAAAUUUCUUUUUCUUUUCGGAUUUGUUUUAUUCCAUUUCUUCACCACGAAAACUCAAAUCAUUAGGAAAAAUCAAAACUGAAAAUACACAAAAGUUAUUUUAUUUUUAGAGGAAAUUUUCAUUUCCGACAUAAAAAUUUUAAUUUCUUCAAAUUUGUAACAAAAAAUUAUAUCAGUAAUAUUUCGAAAAAAAAGAAAAUUUUGACAAAAAUUUACCUUUUUAAAAAUAAUUUCUCAUCUCUAAAAGCUCGAUCUCUUCUAGUUUAAACAAAUAAAUUACGCUCUUAUUUAUUAGCUUUUUUUAAAUUAUAAUCACAAAUAGGGAUGACAACAUAUCACUAUUGGGAUGACAUUGUGUCACUAUUGGGGUGGGUAUGAAACUUUUCAUCGCCAUAUUUGAUUACGUUACUCCUAUUCAUUUCUAUUUCGAUAUUCACCAAAUAAUACCUUCGUGUAUUUGUCUUCAUACCCCAUUAGUAACGAGUAACCCAAAUUUCCCUCGAAUCAUCGAUUAUGGGAAGUUUGAUAUGUGCCAUUCAAAUUUUGCAAGUUAAAAUAAAAUAAUAAAAUUCAUGAAAAAAACUCAUGACAAAGUCCAACCAUAUGGAAAAAUAAAAAGUAAAAAGUAAAAAUAUUAAAAUAAUAAUACACCUAAAGCCUAACCUUAUUGAAAUUUUAAUAAAUUUAUUCGAAAACUCAUAUCUAUAAAAAUAAAUAUAUAAAUAAAAACAUAAUUUUUUUUUUGAAAUACUCUAAAAACCGCCCAUAAACAUAAAUAUAAAAUUCAUAAAAAAAUCACAUAUAACGAAACCAACUACAUCAUCCCACGUAAGGGAAGCAACACAAAGGGCAUUAGAUUUUUAUCUUUUGUAGGGUUUAGGGAUUUCUAGGACGAGUUUCGAACAGUCAAAGCAUAGGGAAAAGGUAAAGGAAUUUGAUGGUCAUAGGCAAUAGUGGCAACUUUUAGGUUUCGAUUUAAAAUGAUUUUUCGUGAAAAAAUGGAGAGUUUUUUUUUUUUUUCUUUUUAAAUAAAAUCAAAGGCAAUAAGAUUAUAAAAAAGGCUGAAAGGAGAAUUUGGAUAAAUUUUCGAUUUUGAGUUUUGAUCUAAGCUAUUUGAUAAAUUUUUUGAGAAAUCCAAUUUGAUAAGAAAAAGAUCAAGAGAAGAAAAAUGAAUUUUUUCUGGUGAAAAUGACAUUGACAAGUGGCGGUCGACAACGAAACAUAGUGGCUGAUAGUUAGAGUCAAGAGAGAAGAGGAUGCCGAAAAAGGAGUUAGAAAGGAGGGACAAGUAUAGAGAGCCAAGGAGAUGAAAGAAAAUGAGGUGAUUUUAUUUUUAGUUUUUAUACUUUGCCUAAACACCUAAACAAUCAGCUUAGGAUCACCAAAUGCAUUAUAAUUGAUAUUGGUCGUGUAUCGGGUUAGGCAACUUACGGAGCGGGACAAAUGACUCGUGGGGUGGGAUGUCAAGGCAAAAUAAAAGAAAACAUAAAUACUAGAUUGGAUAUAGCACUCCUUUGUAGAUGAAAGGAAUUAGAAUUGGUCGAAAUUAAUAGGAGAACAUUCAAGCCCAAAGUAUCGUACACUUUAAGCAAGGAGGCUCGAAAGGCAGUGUGUGCUUAGGUGAAAUAAUUAAGAUUUCUAGCUGGGUUUGCGUCAAACAUAGCUUAGUGUUCUAACAUUGAUGAAGGCAAGUUUCAUGUGAUGAAAAGUUAUGAUUAUCCUAUUUUUAUGCAAUGGCUGUUUCCAAUUGUCUUUCAUGGCUUGUUGCCUAUUUCAAUUUGAAAUGCAAUAAUCAAGCUAUCUUAUUUCUUUAAACAUAUUUGCUAAACUAAAUUACAUGUACAUCAUAUGAAGAUAAAGAGGAAAAUGAAGAUUAUUAACAUGAAAUUAUUGAUUAUGAAUAGUGGUUAAUUUAUGUGUAUUUAACUUUACUACUUGUCACUUUGCUUGAGAUAUAAUACAAUAUGUUAUAUUUUUGUUUUUAGAUAUCAAUGUAUUCAUAUAUUCUUGAUAUAUGUUGCUGAAUUAUGUUGUUCCUGCUUAAAUAUGUUGUUGACUAUAUUGGUAUAUUUAUAGUUAUAAUGCUUAAACGAAAGGCUUCUAACAAAUCCAAAGUUAGAUAUGGAUUUACAUCUAUAUAGAGGGCAUUAUUCCCAAAUCUUAAUCAUCUAACACUCCAUCAGUACACCUUCGAUUUAAAAAAUACCAAGUGGUCGAGCCUCCACCCAUAAACCAUCCAGCAACAAAGAACAUAUACUCUGAGUCUUCUACCAUCGAGACUCCACCUACAUAUCACUCUAUACAAAAUAUCCCAACUGUCGAUCAGCAAUUCUCCAACCUUGUUGAUGGUGUUCAAGCCACUUUAUGUGAGUCGACCCUGCGAAAACAUACAAGACGACCUAAUGAAUGUUUACCCACACCUCUAAAUAUAGCAGACAAAGUGCCAAUUAUUUGUUUGCAAAACAAGUUAGGUGUUAAUAAAUUGUUUACUUUAUUUAUUUAUUCAUUUGAAUAGCAAUAUUAUUAACAUUAAGUUGAUAACUAUUUUAUUAAUAACUUAUAUACAGUACUUUUUGAAACCCACAAUCGUCUGAACGAUAAAGAAAUUGAUUAAAGAUUACUACAAUAAGGCAUGGCUGAUAUGAAGGAAAGUUUCCUUGAAUGUGAAGAUGAGCAUGUGAGAUAAAUUCCAAGUAUUUUUUACUAUUUUAAUACUUUCAUUUAAAUAUGUUAUUAACAAUUUUUAUUUACUUUUAGGAAAAUGCAUACAGUCUCCAAAAUAUACACAGCUAGUUUAUGACAUAUGGCAAGCAACAUGUAAAACACUGUUUAAAGAGAAUCUAAAAGGAAAAAGGUAAUUCAAUCCAUGAGUAGUUCUGAAGUUCGGGAUGAGCUUGGUGAAAAAGAGUGGAGUAAAUAAGCAUGAUAACAUCGGUCUGAUAAAGCAAGAAAGUAUCGACUAACAAAGAAAAAAGGCAGUAUCAUAAAGCACAUAGGUGGUUCAGCACAUUUUUCAGGUUUAUGCGCACAAAUUGAUAAUACCUUUUAAAUUGUUAUAUUUUAUAAUGUUUAAUUCUAUGAUUUUUUUUUUAUUAUUUAUAAACUGUGACUUGUAUUUUUAACCAUAGGCAUAGGAGCUUUAAUGAUCGCUUGUUUUUUUAACCAAACGUAGGCAUAGGAGCUUUAAUGAUCGCUUACAUAUAAGGAACUUUAUGAUCAUUCCCACACACGUUUAGCAGGACACACUGAUUUUAUGGACAACGAGUCCAAAGCUGUUAGUGUAACAGAAAAUUGCUUUAUGUAUGCUUCAUUUUAAUAUUUUCAUCAUUACUACAAUUUUCUUAUUAUGCUUUAUUUUAAGUAAUGUGAAUCAUGCAUUUGUAGGAAAACUAUGCUUCUUCCAUGAAUUAGAAGUAUGGUGAGGACACAACUGCUCAUCCCAAGUUCAGUCCACAGGCCCAGUGCAAAGUAAUUGGAGGGUUGAAAACCACCCGCACCCAUGUCUAUGAAUUUGGACAAGGCCAUGUUCAACGAAAUUAUUUGGCACACCCUCAUCCUCAUAUGGUAGCUCAUCUCACUAAGCUUGUGAGCUUACAAACUUCAUUUCCAAUGUUAGUUCAUUUGUCGAAGUUGAUGAUCUAAAAGGGAAGAUGAUAGAUAUGUAAGACCAACUCAAGGAAAUGAAUCGGUUACAACAUGAAAUAAAUAUGGUUUUGCUUAGUUAAAUGUCCAAAGGUGGUUCGUUUCCUACAUCUGGAUAUUCUUGACACAGUGGCGAAGGACAGCAAGAACCAGAAGGAAGUGCUCAGUGAGAGAUUGAUUCUUUCAUUAUUUGUUUUCUAUUGCAUGCAUAUGAUGAUGAAGUAAGGAUGAAUCUUUUUCUUUAUGGACAUUUGUGUUAUGUUUAAGAAUGAUUAUGUUUGUUUAUGAUUGAUUAUGGAUGUUUGUGAAUGUUUACAAAUCUAUUACAUAGAAAUGACGUGAAUGUUUAAUUGUGUGGUAUUAAAUAGUUGUAUUAUGAUUUAUAUAAAUAAUUUUUAUAUGAUUUGUAAUUAGGAAAAAGGAUUAAUUGUGAAAAAGAUCUAUCCUUUUGAGGGAUGAUCGAUCUUCUAUGAAUAGAGAUCAAUCUUCAGUCAUAAGGGACCUAUCCAUGAAAUUCCAAAGGCAAAUUAUUUAGGUAUAAUUAGACACGGAAUAGUGUGUAUAAGCAAUGGAAAUUUCAUUGCCAAUAAAUUUUAGCGACAAAAAACCCAAUGAAAUCAAUCUUCAUUCAUUGAAAAUGAAUCCUAGAAAAUACCUUUUAGUGAUGGAAAUUUUCAUCACCAAUAAGUUUUUAAAACAGAGGAUCAAAUCUUGAAAACCUAGAAAAAACCUUUUAGUGAUGGAAAUUUUCAUCGCCAAGAAGUUUUAACAACAGAGGAUCAAUCUUGAAAACCCAGAAAAUACAUUUUAGCGACGGAAAUUUCAUCAGUAAAGAUCUCUAGUGAUGGAAUUAUAAAACCAUUACCAACAACAAAUUUUGUCGCUAAUAGUUAAAGCAAUGGAAUCACAAAUUUUUUAAAAGAUUUAGGAAAAAUAAAUUUUAGUGACGAAAUAUUCUGUCACUAAAAGUUUUUUGAUAGAAUUAUAAAUUUUAUUUUUGCAAAACAAAUAAAACCAUAAUUAUUUUUUGCAACUAUUAGCAAAAGAAAAACAAUCUUUGAUAGUUCAGUUAUUUUUAUGGAAAAAGUAUUGGCAAUGGAAGACUGUCACGGACUUUACACUUUCUGAUGAACUAUUAUAGACAAAAAUUCCGUUGCCAAAACGUUUUACGAGUUAAAAAUAGACUAAUAGUGACGAAAAUUUUUGUUGCCAAUACUCUUAUUUCUUUUAAUAAAAUAAAUAGGUUAUCCAUACUCGUACUUGUAAUUAUGGUAAGAUUAAAAAUAAUUGUAACAAUAGGAUUAGUUACUACAACGAUGAUAUUGAGUACUGUAGCGUUAAAUUAAAAUUAGUGAUAAAAUAUGGGUUUAGAUGCAAAAGCAGUGGUGAGAGUAAAAUAAAUAAUAUUAAAAAAAAUGACUAUUAAAAAUAUUAAGUUAAAGUUUGUGUAUAAUGAAAAUUUUAAAUUAUUUGUCAUUUAUGAAGUUAAUAAAAAAUUAAACAUUACAAUAUUAUUUUUAUAUUAAAUAAUAUUUUUGUUAAAAAAUUGAUAAUAAUAUAUUUACACGAAUUAAAACUUAACAAAUUUAUUUUUCGUAUUUAUUUAAUAAAUUAAAACUAAACAUAUAAAAAAUAAAAAUAAAUAAUUUUAAAGUAACUAAAAAAAUUUAAGAAAAAAAUGAAAAUUUUGGGUAUUAUGAUCAAUAAAUCUAGUAUAGUAGCUCAUUGAACCUUUUUCCUAUGUCCAAAUGAAGUCUUAAUAUAAAUUAAAAAAAAGGGUAAUUCAAAUAUAAUUUAUGAUCAAACACAGUCAAAGCAACAUUAGGCCUUACUAGUCAGUAAUUAACAACUUUUUAAUGAGUAGAAAAAUUAAAUGCUACAAAAAAAAUCACAUUUAUUUAUUGUUUAUUAGUAUUAUUUAAUAAUAUAAAGUAAAAAGAUAAAAUUUAACUUAUUAAACCAAAAAGGAAAGCCCGCCUAUAGCAAUGGGUGAAGUCGUUCAAGAAAAUGUUGAUAAAAUCAAAACUUAAAAAUUAGACAUUCAAAGGCGAUUUAUCAGCUGACUAUUUGGCCAAAUAUAAGUCAACAUAUAUAAUUAUUUCCUAAUUCUUUCACACUAAAUCUACUCCAAUAUUAAUGUAGGGUGAUUAUCUCUAAAACAAGAAAUUUUAAUUAAUUAAAUUCUUGACUUCAAUUCCUCUUGAAAAUGUCUGUUUCAAGUUAGAAAAAUAUCAAUAUAGAAACCAGAAGUUUUAAUUGUGGGAUAGGAGGGGUGGGGUUCAUAAGAUGGAAGAGUAAUAUUAUAACUUGCCUAUUAUUGUGUAGCCUAAAAUUCAAUGAAUUUUUUUUUAUCAUAAAAAAUCCUAUGAAAUCUUACGUACGUACCAAAAGAAGAACAUUUAUUUUUAUGUUACACAUUAUAUUAUUAAUUUUCAUACAAAUUUGAGGAGACAAAUUCAAUAAAUAUAUAUGAUCUACAACUAAUUAGAAAGCAAAGGUAAUUAGUACAUUUAUUUAAAUAAUCAUACAACAAAUCAGGCCCAAAUGCUUACAAAAGAAUUCUUUAUUUUGUUUACACAAUUUCCAAUCAAAUAUUUCUAUAAAAGGUUUAACGCCCAAAGGUUAUUUUGAUUUUUUUUAGUUAGUGAAAAAAAGGAGGAAUACUUUGCUCAUGCCUGAAGAAAUUCUGUGGAUCAACAUCGGCCUUCACACGAACUAACCUGCCAAAGUUGUUCAAGAAAUACUUACGACCCCAUACGCUAGCCUGAGCGAAACUUGUGUUUCCUUCAUUAUUCAUUCCGAUGUCAAGAUCCCUAUAAUUGAUAUAGGCUUGCCUUGGAGAUUUUGAAACAAAGGAACCCAUGUAACUAUAAAGUCUCCGAAUCCAGCUUAUAUACCUUUCAGAUAUUAUAUUCUCUUCUUCUUGCCAUCCUGCGUUGUAUACGAUUUUGUAUAAGUUGCCAACUCUAUGUGGGAAUGGAGUAGCAGUCGAUGGAAUUUCAUCCAUUAUGCCUCCGUAAGCAAUAAAACUUAUACUAGCGGAUGCUCCUUCUUCUUCAAAAAGUCUUGACCACAUCCCCUGAAAUCCAAUUUCAGGAAUGGGUUUCUUCACAUAAUCAGAUUUUGAUUUGAAGGAAGGACUAAGAAGAGGACUUUGGUAUGUCCUAUCAAGCAAAAUAUUCAAGGUUUCGUUUGGAAGGUUGCCCAUGUAGAGAAUAGAUUCAAUCCAACUCAUUUCAACGCAGUCUUCCCUCACUAGUCCCAGCUCAGGAAAUCUCUCUUGCAUCAAUGGAACCAGCUCAUCAAUCCCACCAAGAAACGAGGCAUGAAAGGAAGCUAGAAUUGUUCUCUUCCCAUCUUCACUAGAAUUUACCCUUGUUAGAGUAAUUCCAGAGUAAAAUUCAUCUGGAAGCUUGGGUGCAACGGAUUGCCAACGAUGAACAAGCUUGGUCGCAUUUUGUUCCAAGGUCUUGUUGAUUGUGAACACAGUCACAGUUGAUGGAACGGAAACCAACUGUACUUUCCAUGCAACCACAAUUCCAAAGCUACCCCCACCACCACCUCGAAUGGCCCAAAACAGAUCUUCUCCCAUGGAUUUCCUGUCAAGAACUCUCCCGUCAACAUCAACAAGUUGUGCAUCAAUUACAUUGUCUAUUGCAAGACCGUAUUUGCGGAAUAAUAAGCCAUAACCUCCUCCGCUCAAGUACCCUCCAAUUCCAACAGUGGGGCAAAGACCAGCUGGAAAGGCAAGAGUGUUGCUUCUGUUAGCAAUGUUGUGAUACAGUUCUCCUAGAACCGCACCUGAUUGAACCCAUGCAACUUUGUUUUCUACAUCAAUGUCAACUGAUCGUAGAUUAACCAUAUCAACAAUAACAAACGGGACUUCAGAUACAUAAGAAAGACCUUCAAAAUCAUGGCCACCGCUUCGAGUUCUAAUUUGGAGCCCAUGUUUUCUUGAACAAUAAAUUGUUGCUUGAAUAUGGGAAGCAUGGAGCGGUGUUACAAUAAUCAAAGGUUUAGGGGUAGAUGGUGUAGUGAAUCUAAAAUUUCGAAUGGUAGCGUUCAAAACAGAAGAAUAGGAAGAAUUAUUUUGUGUGAAGAUAACUUUAGA
This 10526-nucleotide long non-coding RNA is filed under the name Durio zibethinus. RNAcentral describes it as "long non-coding RNA (DZIB_LNC001945)". Lineage: Eukaryota; Viridiplantae; Streptophyta; Magnoliopsida; Malvales; Malvaceae. The record is from RNAcentral.